AGUUGAAACAAUGGUAUAAAGCCCCCUUUGGCUCAGCUAUAGCUCUGGAGUAUUCCAUUGGGCCUGCAGCUCUGAAAAUUCCAAGCCAACUCAAACUGCCCACUCACAGAGCCAAGAUUAGAAACAGGCCUCAAAUGGCAGGUUUUCUUCAAUUUACUCAUCCACAGAAUAUUACCCAAGAAUGCUAUGCUCCAAGAUGUGUUCUGUUCAGCUAUGAAGAUGACUCAUCUGGCUCAUUUACUCUCUGA
Molecule: long non-coding RNA, 248 nt
Filed under: Monodelphis domestica (gray short-tailed opossum)
Lineage: Eukaryota; Metazoa; Chordata; Mammalia; Didelphimorphia; Didelphidae
Description: lncRNA (ENSMODG00000033277.2)
Source: RNAcentral